UUGUUUGCAAAUUUCAUCGAUUGAGAUUAAAACAGUGUAGAAUUGCCAGCUUAUUUGGUAACUAACUCAUCAAGCAGUUCAAAUGCAAACAACAAUUUUCUUUCUCUGCAUAUAUGUUCAACUAAAACAGCCCAUGAAUCAGGUUCUGGUUUAAACCCCAUUUCUGCUAAUCCAAAUAAUGCUGUAACAGCAUCAUCCACCAUUGCAGCUUUACAUAAGCGAACCAACAACUCAUUUGAAGUUGCAUGAUGGGGUACAAAGCCUCUACUGAGCAUAAAAUCCAACAGUUCACAAGUCUUCUCCAGCUUACCUG
Molecule: unclassified non-coding RNA, 313 nt
Filed under: Hevea brasiliensis (rubber tree)
Lineage: Eukaryota; Viridiplantae; Streptophyta; Magnoliopsida; Malpighiales; Euphorbiaceae
Source: RNAcentral